CAACAUGAAUGAAAAAAAUAAACACACUGAGCAGAGGUUAAUGCCACGCUCCAAAGAACACUAAAGAACAAAGGAUGAAAUUCACUAACAAUAACUGAGGUUUUAAACAUUAGCGAACUUCAGGACUAUCUCAAUAUGACACCACUUUCCAAGUGCAGAAAAUUAAACCUUGAGUAGAAAUACGACAUUCCCAAUAAUUUUGGGACAACAAGAAUUAAAUUACUGACAAUCACUAAGGUUAUAAACAGCAGGUCGGAACUAUCUCAGGAUACAGCAAGACAUGGUCGUUACAGGAAUAAAAUAAUCAUCACAGGAAUAAAGGAAUCGUCACAGGAAUAAAGGAAUCAUCAUGAUGCGGAAGACAAAGCAAAAAUAUCCCGGGAAAACCACAGCAAUCACUCGGUAUAAAAACGAGUGAAUGAAUAUAGACCUACAAACAAGAAAUAGUUAGAAUUAGUGACUAUUUUAAUCACGGAAAACAGUAAAAGGUGACUCCGUGAAAAUAAAUCACCAACUAAACCUAAAAGGAGAAAAAAUGUAUCAACUAACAAUAUAAGAAUUUUAUACUCUUUCAGCACAUUAUCCACCAUUCAUUUUUCAGUAACUACGCAUAAAUGAUGGAGGACUGCAUAAAUUUUUAUGUGACAUUGCAUAAAUAUUACAGUCAACAUUAAAUAGUCGGAAUAAAAAAUUAUGUCAUCUAGAAUAACAACAUAAAAAUCUGUUUAUGGGAAACAAUACAAGGAAACCAACCAUGCCAAACAGCGUAUCCUAGUGUGUAAGCAUCUCAAUGCUAACCUCUUAAAAUGUAUAACUAAACAAUGACAAGUAUAAAGAGAACCAUCACUACGAACUAAACACUAACCCUUUAAUAAUAGAAGCAAAACGUGCAACUCUGCAGUUAAGCUCCUCAAUACCUACAGAGAGUUUUGUUUAGCAAGGGGUCCAACACUGCAGAAAAGAGCCUGCAAAAAUUGAAGAAAAGAAUAACGCCAAUAUCCAGUUAUCAACCUGUAUAAUUCAUUAAAGAUCAAAGUAAGUACCUCAAAACAAAGACAAUGGAAAACCUUACUAGCUAGGCAGAACUGUUGCACAGCUACAUGGAUCCUCGAGGAAGCAUAAGUCACCAGUAAAACGUCUUUACGAUGAUACAUUCCAUGUUGCACAAAAGGUGCACAAUUCUUACAGGUGAAAGGCUGGUAUUGAUGAAUAGAAAACUGCACAUACAACAAUACUUGAUGCCUUGGUAUAAAGUCUUACUCGCUGCCACUAAUACUGGAGGGCAGCCUUUAUAAACAUUUGACAAGGUAAACCCUUACAUAUAACCCCAAAAGACCCAAGUACAAAUGCUUAAUAGGGAUAAUAUAAUACAGUGGCUGGCCAUUGUCAACCCAACUCAUACUGGUAUAAUACUAGAAUACAUGAUAUAUUCAUUACAAUAUUGAUGAAAUGUAGGCAACUAAGACAUUGGUUAAUAUAUGCAUAUAAUGAAUUGGUAAAUAAAAUAGACUUUGCUUAAAAUACUACUGAAGUAUUGCUGGAAAAUUGCAAAAAUAUAAUGGCAUAUGAGUUCUUGAUAGACAUUUUAGGCAUUUGCAAUUUAAUAUGUGUUUAAGAAAUUUUACAUAACCCCAUUGAUUCCGGGACAAUAGAGUUGCAUGUUUCAAGUUGAUCAAAAAUUUCACUGAUUUUAGUGCAGUCUUGCUUUUCAAGAGAAACCCAAAAGUGACCAAGAGCUCAACAUCUUCCAUGGAAUAUAUAAUGUCACCAAAGCCAGUGAGUUAUCCUUCAUAUAUGGCAUUAUAAUCUCCUUUAGUUUGAGCCAUUUGGAUGUCUUAGAGUAGGACAUAGUUCAACUGUAAUACAUGUGUAGAUUUAAAUAAACCAAUCAAUGUUACUGUGAUGUCCAAUCUAAAUUAAAGUGUUCAUAAGCUGUUGAAGAUCAAUGGUUAAAAUCAAGAAUCUAUCUGAGAAGGCCGAGUGCAAACCGCAAAAUAAUACUAACACAUGUGAGGGAUAAUAUAUAUACAUAUCUUAAUAUAUAGUUGGGCUGCAUUGGAAGACAAAAGCUGUUUCUGAAAUAAUCUGAGUCGCUUGGUAGAUGGAUUAAAAAUGUGAGCCUGGUGAGAAGCUGAUUCCCAUACCAGACAUUACUCCCUGGAGAACUACCUCAUAACUUCAUGAUUUAAUAUUAAUUGUUGUAGACAUAAGCUUAUCAUGUUCAGAAUCAUUAACUUAAAAUUAACCAUUUAUGGAAAUAUUGUGCAUGCCAUAGAAAAUGGAACUUGUUGGUAUCAUAAGAGUUUAUUAGCCAAUAAGAAUGGUUAAAAAUGUAAUGAUAAUUAGUACUAAAAAAGAGAGCAAUAUCUAUGCCGUAAAGAUUCAUACACAAUCAUUGCAUUAUCCACCAUUCAUGUCAAUGAUGAUUGAAAAAAUGACAGUGUAAUACAUAGAUAUUUUUCUCUUCCAAAAAUCUUAGACUUAUGAGAAAUGCACUAAAAUGAAUGUGAAGUUAUGUAUUGAGAAUCAUGUACCUUCAUGUGGCAUGAAAGGUAAUUAUGACGGAGAUAGUAGAAAGAGUAUUCAACGAGGGAAGGAGAAACACAACACACCCCGCGAGGGGAGAGUGGGGCCAAUAAAAAAAAGAAAGUGGCCGCCGAAAACUCUCCCCUCGCAACAACAAACUAAUAAUUUUAUUGAUUUUCUUUUGACCUGCCAAGCAAGCGCACCGGACAUGGCAAAGGUCUAGUAGUAACAAAAUAUAACAAUCAACGUAACAAGUACCUUACGAGUCUACGACUGUAUCAGUAUGCAUAACACGAGGUCUCUCUCACAGACAUAACUUCACACUGUAUAAGAUAAUAAUCUCCUAAAGGAUCGUACCGAUACAAUCGAAAUUAUACAAUCAAUCUCGCGUUAUUUGAACAAUUCCUUCACUAGGUGAAACCAAUUUCUCUGUUCUCGAACUAGAAGCAGAACUACUCAUCCAGAUCCAAUGUAAAAAUACAAAAUCCAUGUCGGUUAACGACGCAAUCAAGACCUGUAAAAAUUCGACAUAUUCAGAUCCAAUAAUAAGACAAGAAAUAAGAACCGGACUCGAAAAUUCGCAGAUCCAAAACUCACCUUAUCAAAAUCAAAACCAGAUCGAAGUAUUCCUCGCCUACGUCAAAUAAAUUUCUUCAUCCCUGAACGAGAACGAUUCCGUGAAAUCGAGAGCGAGAAUUCGAGCGGAUCUUGCAAAGAAUCAUCGCUUAAAACGUGAUCAAGGUUCAAUUCGCGGUGAUUUGACCGAGUCAGAUGGCGCCUAAUAGGGUUUCCCGCGAUGAGGGGGAUAUGAGGGGUUAUGGUGAUUUAUAUAGUGGAGUUUGAUGAAAAAGGUUUAACUCGCUCAUAAUACACCGUUGGUAUAGACGGUGAUAGGAAAUCGCAUCAGUUCAUUUUAAUCAAAUAAAACACUGAAUGGGUAGGUAAUGUAUUUGCGGUCACAAAGAAAGGAAGGUUCUCGAUAAACUAUAUAUUUUUGCCUCACACCGUGAGACGUGUUUCGCGUGUCGUUCUUUGAGGCCAG
RNAcentral lists this long non-coding RNA (3568 nucleotides) under Lupinus angustifolius (narrow-leaved blue lupine). RNAcentral's name for it is "long non-coding RNA (LANG_LNC003412)". Lineage: Eukaryota; Viridiplantae; Streptophyta; Magnoliopsida; Fabales; Fabaceae. The record is from RNAcentral.